AUACGUUCAUCCCCAUAGGGGGACGCAAGUAAGCCGACUCGGAACGGAAUCGU
RNAcentral lists this non-coding RNA (53 nucleotides) under Cyanophage P-RSM6. RNAcentral describes it as "Glutamine-II sequence". It matches the Rfam family "Glutamine-II riboswitch aptamer". From Rfam's summary of the family: The major groove of the PK provides the binding site for L-glutamine The record is from Rfam by way of RNAcentral. Lineage: Duplodnaviria; Heunggongvirae; Uroviricota; Caudoviricetes; Pantevenvirales; Kyanoviridae.